GCUGAAGCAAAUCUCACAAUUAAAAGUGCUUAUAACACCUUGAGGACAUCUUACAAUUGGUAACAAGCCUUGGUACUAGUAAAACAUGCAUAAUUCUCAUUUAGUAUAAACAUUUUGAUGUAUUUGAUGUAUGCUUGUUGCUUGACAUGAAGAGGUUUAGUGAAAAUAUGCAAAAUAACAGUUUCUGCAAAAUUUAAUCUGUUAUAUAAAUCUUCUAAUCUAUUAGGUU
This 229-nucleotide long non-coding RNA is filed under the name Vigna radiata. Its description in RNAcentral is "long non-coding RNA (VRAD_LNC005956)". The record is from RNAcentral. Lineage: Eukaryota; Viridiplantae; Streptophyta; Magnoliopsida; Fabales; Fabaceae.